GUAUUCAGGACACACAGUUCACUGUGUGGCACUAUCCCGGUGCGGUCUUCACUGGACCUGCUGGCUAAAACACUCUACAUGAAAGACGGCAGUGAGUUCAGCCGUGCGGCCCACAUCCUGAACUAUGUGGGGACCCAGGUGACGGCUCGUUGGUGUACAGCAGCUUACCUACACCACUGUGCUGCAUGAGUACAGCGCCUCCUUUCGCUGGGAGGACGCACUGCGCCUUUGCCGCUUUGCCAAGUGACACUGACUCCGAAUGGGAGCCCCCAGUGCCAAGGUGUCCAUCCCCCACUGAAGCUGGUUCAUCCAGCUCCUGCCACAAGUGGUGUUCAUCUGCCCAAAUGUAUUUCUGCAGGCAUGGAUGUGCCUCAGGGCCAAAAAGGGCACAGCAUGGAGGCGUCGCUGUGUUCUUUGCAAAAUGAAGUCCCCCAUCACCUGCACCACAUGCUUGGUGACCUUCUGCUUUACAGCAGAAAGAGACUGCUAUGGCACCUGGAAUCAGCAGCACAAUGUGUAGAGGACUGAGGGUCUUCCAAAUAUUGAAAGUGUUAUUUUGUAAAUGUAUACAGUGGGGAAAAAAAGUAUUUAGUCAGCCACCAAUUGUGCAAGUUCUCCCACUUAAAAAGAUGAGAGAGGCCUGUAAUUUUCAUCAUAGGUACACUUCAACUAUGACAGACAAAAUGAGAAAAAUCCAGAAAAUCACAUUGUAGGAUUUUUAAUGAAUUUAUUUGCAAAUUAUGGUGGGAAAUUAGUAUUUGGUCACCUACAAACAAGCAAGAUUUCUGGCUCUCACAGACCUGUAACUUCUUCUUUUAGAGGCUCCUCUGUCCUCCACUCGUUACCUGAAUUAAUGGAACCUGUUUGAAGUUGUUAUCAGUAUAAAAGACACCUGUCCACAACCUCAAACAGUCACACUCCAAACUCCACUAUGGCCAAGACCAAAGAGCUGUCAAAGGACACCAGAAACAAAAUUGUAGACCUGUACCAGGCUGGGAAGACUGCAUCUGC
RNAcentral lists this long non-coding RNA (1011 nucleotides) under Oncorhynchus mykiss (rainbow trout). Its description in RNAcentral is "lncRNA (ENSOMYG00000063315.1)". Lineage: Eukaryota; Metazoa; Chordata; Actinopteri; Salmoniformes; Salmonidae. The record is from RNAcentral.